Molecule: ribosomal RNA, 257 nt
Filed under: uncultured bacterium
Lineage: Bacteria
Description: partial 16S ribosomal RNA
Rfam family: Bacterial small subunit ribosomal RNA
Source: RNAcentral
UCAUGCCUACGGGGCGCAGCAGUGGGGAAUAUUGGGCAAUGGGCGCAAGCCUGACCCAGCAACGCCGCGUGAAGGAAGAAGGCUUUCGGGUUGUAAACUUCUUUUAUCAGGGACGAAGCAAGUGACGGUACCUGAUGAAUAAGCCACGGCUAACUACGUGCCAGCAGCCGCGGUAAUACGUAGGUGGCAAGCGUUAUCCGGAUUUACUGGGUGUAAAGGGCGUGUAGGCGGGAGUGCAAGUCAGAUGUGAAAACUAU